Molecule: ribosomal RNA, 369 nt
Filed under: uncultured organism
Description: partial 16S ribosomal RNA
Rfam family: Bacterial small subunit ribosomal RNA
Source: RNAcentral
AGAGAGUGCAAGCGUUAAUCGGAAUUACUGGGCGUAAAGCGCGCGUAGGUGGAUAUUUAAGUCGGAUGUGAAAGCCCUGGGCUCAACCUAGGAACUGCAUUCGAUACUGGAUAUCUAGAGUAUAGUAGAGGGAAGUGGAAUUUCAGGUGUAGCGGUGAAAUGCGUAGAUAUCUGAAAGAACACCAGUGGCGAAGGCGGCUUCCUGGACUAAUACUGACACUGAGGUGCGAAAGCGUGGGGGGAGCAAACAGGAUUAGAGACCCUGGUAGUCCACGCCGUCAACGAUGAGAACUAGCUGUUGGGAGGGUUACCUCUUAGUAGCGAAGCUAACGCGUUAAGUUCUCCGCCUGGGAUACGGCCGCAAGGUUA